CCGCGCUAGACGGGGAGGUAGCGGUUCCUUGUAACCCGCAGUCCGCUACAGCGGGGUUUAAUUCCUUUUUUGAGGGCAUGGGGCUGGGAGCAGUCCGGAUCGCUCUGGCGUUGAUUUUUCCGGUCUCGCGCAACUGGCGCCUUUGAACCGUGUCAGGUCUUGACGGAAGCAGCACUAAGGAGCGUGUCCCGUGUGCCGCGAGGGCGCCGGGGAGGAGUCGGGGCGCUUCGGGUAACGUCCGGGUUCCAUGUUCGAGAAAAGGCGCGCGG
This 269-nucleotide signal recognition particle RNA is filed under the name Gracilibacteraceae bacterium. RNAcentral's name for it is "signal recognition particle sRNA large type". It matches the Rfam family "Bacterial large signal recognition particle RNA". From Rfam's summary of the family: The signal recognition particle (SRP) is a universally conserved ribonucleoprotein involved in the co-translational targeting of proteins to membranes. The record is from RNAcentral. Lineage: Bacteria; Bacillati; Bacillota; Clostridia; Eubacteriales; Gracilibacteraceae.